GGCUUAACUACCCGAGUAUGCGAAAGACGGUUUGACUUGAGGGCUCGAGAGGGACACGGAAUUCCGGGUGGAGUGGUGAAUGCGUAGAGAUCCGGAGGAACACCGAAGGCGAAGGCAGUGUCCUGGCGAGUGACUGACGCUGAGGUGCGAAAGCUAGGGGAGCGAACGGGAUUAGAUACCCCGGUAGUCCUAGCCGUAAACGAUGACCACCAGGUGUGGGAGGUAUCGACCCCUUCCGUGCCGGAGUAAACACACUAAGUGGUCCGCCUGGGGAGUACGGUCGCAAGAUUAAAACUCAAAGGAAUUGACGGGGACCCGCACAAGCAGCGGAGCGUGUGGUUUAAUUCGAUGCGACGCGAAGAACCUUACC
RNAcentral lists this ribosomal RNA (370 nucleotides) under uncultured bacterium. Its description in RNAcentral is "bacterial SSU rRNA". It matches the Rfam family "Bacterial small subunit ribosomal RNA", at positions 606 to 975 of the family's 1533-position model. The record is from RNAcentral.